GGUGAUGUAGUUGUUAAGCGCUUGGCUGCUAAUCAAAAGGUUGGUGGUUUGAAUCCACCAGCCACUU
RNAcentral lists this transfer RNA (67 nucleotides) under Loxodonta africana (African savanna elephant). It matches the Rfam family "tRNA". From Rfam's summary of the family: Transfer RNA (tRNA) molecules are approximately 80 nucleotides in length. Their secondary structure includes four short double-helical elements and three loops (D, anti-codon, and T loops). The record is from Rfam by way of RNAcentral. Lineage: Eukaryota; Metazoa; Chordata; Mammalia; Proboscidea; Elephantidae.